This 622-nucleotide long non-coding RNA is filed under the name Homo sapiens (human). RNAcentral describes it as "HSALNT0275761". The record is from RNAcentral. Lineage: Eukaryota; Metazoa; Chordata; Mammalia; Primates; Hominidae.
GGAAAUCAAGAGCCAUGAUUUGGCAGCUUCCCCAGGAGAGAGUCCGGAAAGACCAGGGACAAUGAAAGUGGAGGAGCAGCCAGGAAAGGAGAAGCCACUGUGUCUGCAGGACAGGGGCUCCCAGAGCAAAGGGGAGAUAAAGGGGACACCUGUGACCUCAGGGAGGACACUGCACAUGGCAGGGACACCAUUUUAGCACAACUGGGUGUGUGAGGAGAGGGCACUGUGAGAAGUCAAGUGCCUGGAGCUGUGGCAGAGAAAGAGGCAGCAUCUGCAAGAGCUGAAGACCCUUUCAUUCCAGGUGUGAGAUCAUGGUCACUGGCUCCUGCUGCAUGUCAGCGUCUCCCUGUCACCCAGGCCCGCCCCAUCGCCAGGUGGCUUUGCCAGGUAACUCUCUGCUUCCCCCUGGUGGCCGCUCCACACUGUGGGCUGGGGGCUCAGGGACUUCCUGGGUCUAGGUGUGGAUUCAGAACCUGCUGUUCAGGUCCCUGAUGCCCUGAUCCGAGGACUGCUGGUCCCAGGGGAGGAACACCUCUUCUCUGUGUGGCCCCUGCCUGACUCAAGAUCAGGUACAAGGGGCUCAGCUUACCCAAUAAAAUACAAAAGUAUAUAUGUAGAAACA